GCAGAUACUAAUUAGAUUAAACGUUGUGCAUCUUAUCCGUUGCAAGAGUGUGUGUAAGUCAUGGCACUCUUUGAUCUCCAGUAACCAUUUUAUUAAAGAUCACCUCAAACAUAGUUACAACUCUGAUUGCAAUAGUACUCAGAUUGGACAUCGACGAGUGGUUAUAACUCAUUUACCCCGCUCCCUCUUUAAGUUAGAAAUUGGUCCCUGGUAUUCUAGUUUUCGUGAACGUUUUCAACUUCUUGGUUCUUCAAAUGGGUUGGUAUGCAUUUGUAUUCAUAAUGCCGAAUUGUUUGUGGUUAACCCUUCAACUAGAGAGAUGACAAAAUUGAGAAAGCACAAGUUUGGUAACAAGCCCCGGGCGGAUUGUGAAGGGAAAUCAGUAUUAUGUUUCGGUUUUGGCUAUGAUUCAUCCAUAGAUGAUUACAAAGUUGUAGUCGGUUUCAUGAAAAGUAACUACAUGACAUGCUUUCACGUCGUAACCUUGAAAUCCAAUGCUUGGACACUUGUUGGAGACGUGAACUAUUGUUAUCUUAAAAGCGUUGGUGUCUUGUGCAACGGGGCGCUUCGUUGGGUUAUGGAGGAUCCAAAUGAGAAUAAAGUGAUUAUCUCUUUUGAUUUAUCUCGAGAGAAUUUUAAAUUAAUCCCCCAAUCAGAUGAUGAUAUGGUAUAUCAAUCAUUGAUUAUUGAAGAAUGUCUAUGCAUAUUUGAUUAUGAAUACAUGCUUUCUCAAAAGAUUUGGAAGAUGAGUCAUUACAAUGUAAAGCAAUCUUGGACAAUGAUACAUGAGUGGCAAAUGACGAAUGAUUUUGCACACUGUUUGAGUGGAUUAUAGAAGUAUGACGUUCUAAGUGAGAAGUCCUUGUGUCAUGAGAUACAGUUGUGCAGGACUCUGGAUAUCAUUAUUGCCCCGAUAUAUGUGCAGAGUCUUGUAUCUCCACAUUUUCAAUAUCAUGUCAAACAAAAGAGAAAGAAGCAGCCAACAAAUAGCAAGAGGACUACUGCUAAGAAACUUAAGGGAGAUAUUACGGUUCAUGGGUCGACUCCUGAAGUUUGAUGAUGUUGAAGACAUCAAGCUGAGCCUUUGCAUAUCAUUUGGGAGCAUCAUUUAAGCAAAUGCCGAAUUCAAAUUGUUGAUAUCCCCGAGUAGUUUGCGUCUGUUUGUGUUGGUCUGGAGUUGUCUACGAUUAUAGUCCAUCUGAUGCUUUUGGAGCAAAAAGUUUCUUUUGCAAUGAAAGAGAAAGCCAGAUUUUUGUGGACUCUUCUUUUCAUUAAAAUUGGAAAUUUGCAUUUCAAAGGUUAUCCUGAAUAGAUGGGGAGUUAAGAAAAGUUUCUGUACUGUUUAAGUUAGAUUUUAUUGUCUUACAACUCCAAUACUUUAAGGUUUCCUUUGCGUGCAAUUAUGACUUCGAACUAAACUGAUAUGCAUGAGAAGUGUUCAACUUUUUAACCGAAAUUGUAAUGUUUCUGAUUAGCAAAUA
Long non-coding RNA from Erigeron canadensis, 1481 nucleotides. RefSeq lists it as uncharacterized. The record is from RefSeq and is a predicted model, not a curated record. The transcript is spliced from 3 exons. Lineage: Eukaryota; Viridiplantae; Streptophyta; Magnoliopsida; Asterales; Asteraceae.